UACAGAGGGGGCAAGCGUUGUUCGGAAUUACUGGGCGUAAAGGGCGCGUAGGCGGCCUGCUAAGUCGAACGUGAAAUCCCCGGGCUCAACCCGGGAACUGCGUCCGAUACUGGUGGGCUUGAAUCCGGGAGAGGGAUGUGGAAUUCCAGGUGUAGCGGUGAAAUGCGCAGAUAUCAGGAGGAACACCGGUGGCGAAGGCGGGUCUCUGGGCCGAUACUGACGCUGAGGAGCGAAAGCGUGGGGAGCGAACAGG
RNAcentral lists this ribosomal RNA (253 nucleotides) under uncultured bacterium. RNAcentral's name for it is "partial 16S ribosomal RNA". It matches the Rfam family "Bacterial small subunit ribosomal RNA", at positions 524 to 776 of the family's 1533-position model. The record is from RNAcentral.